UACGAAGGGUGCAAGCGUUGUUCGGAUUUACUGGGCGUAAAGCGCGCGCAGGCGGAUUGUUAAGUCAGAUGUGAAAUCUCGGGGCUCAACCCCGAAACUGCGUCUGAAACUGAUAAUCUAGAGUCAUAGAGGGGGAAGUGGAAUUUCGCAUGUAGGGGUAAAAUCCGUAGAGAUGCGAAGGAACACCAGUGGCGAAGGCGACUUCCUGGCUAUGUACUGACGCUGAGGCGCGAAAGCGUGGGUAGCGAACAGG
RNAcentral lists this ribosomal RNA (253 nucleotides) under uncultured bacterium. Its description in RNAcentral is "partial 16S ribosomal RNA". It matches the Rfam family "Bacterial small subunit ribosomal RNA", at positions 524 to 776 of the family's 1533-position model. The record is from RNAcentral.